Molecule: long non-coding RNA, 416 nt
Filed under: Monodelphis domestica (gray short-tailed opossum)
Lineage: Eukaryota; Metazoa; Chordata; Mammalia; Didelphimorphia; Didelphidae
Description: lncRNA (ENSMODG00000049345.1)
Source: RNAcentral
AGAGACUUUGAUUGGUUCCUGAGAUGUCAUAGACCAGCACACAGAGAAAGGAAGUGAUGUGGAGAAAGAGGACUUUAAAAAAUGAGAUCAUAGAGGAGAUGGAGCUCUUCUCUGGAGGUCUUUGGCUGGUGGUCUUUCUGCGAUUUGGCAUUGGUGGCUCGGGUGGAAGAUCCUCAUGGACUGGGAGGAAACUAAACAUCACCUAUUAUUAUCCCAAAUAGAAGAUGAAGAAACUGAGGUAAAGAGAGAUUAAAUGAAUUGCUUCAAGAAACUGGGCAAAUCAGAGGUUGUGCCCCAGCUCCUGCCUCCCAGGACUGGUCCUCUGGCCUUUGAGACCACACUGACCACAAGCAUUCAUUCCAGCCUCACCUUCGGAGCUGCCUCACCAUCAGUGAGAUAAGCAUCUGUCAUCCCAG